Molecule: ribosomal RNA, 267 nt
Filed under: uncultured prokaryote
Description: partial 16S ribosomal RNA
Rfam family: Bacterial small subunit ribosomal RNA
Source: RNAcentral
UACGUAGGGACUAGCGUUAUCCGGAAUUACUGGGCGUAAAGGGUGCGUAGGCGGUCUUUCAAGCCAGAAGUGAAAGGCUACGGCUCAACCGUAGUAAGCUUUUGGAACUGUAAGACUUGAGUGCAGGAGAGGAGAGUGGAAUUCCAUGUGUAGCGGUGAAAUGCGUAGAUAUAUGGAGGAACACCAGUGGCGAAGGCGACUCUCUGGUCUGUAACUGACGCUGAGGCUCGAAAGCGUGGGGAGCAAACAGGAUUAGAUACCCUGGUA